This 253-nucleotide ribosomal RNA is filed under the name uncultured bacterium. RNAcentral describes it as "partial 16S ribosomal RNA". It matches the Rfam family "Bacterial small subunit ribosomal RNA", at positions 524 to 776 of the family's 1533-position model. The record is from RNAcentral.
UACGUAGGGGGCAAGCGUUGUCCGGAUUUAUUGGGCGUAAAGAGCGUGUGGGCGGCCAGGUAGGUGGGUUGUGAAAACUGGAGGCUCAACCUUCAGAGGUCGACCCAAACCCCCUGGCUAGAGUCCGGAAGAGGAGAGUGGAAUUCCUGGUGUAGCGGUGAAAUGCGCAGAUAUCAGGAAGAACACCCGUGGCGAAGGCGGCUCUCUGGGACGGUACUGACGCUGAGACGCGAAAGCGUGGGGAGCGAACAGG